This is a long non-coding RNA of Thalassophryne amazonica, 802 nucleotides long. RefSeq lists it as uncharacterized. NCBI's taxonomy places the organism in Eukaryota, Metazoa, Chordata, Actinopteri, Batrachoidiformes, Batrachoididae. The transcript has 3 exons. The record is from RefSeq and is a predicted model, not a curated record.
GCACGGACGCAUUUCACUGCAGCACACAACUUUCCUGGAGAGUAAAAAGAGCAGAUUUGCACAUCGUCUGGAUUUUAACUGCAUCUCACAUGUACUGCAAGUGGCAGCUGACAGGAGUCAACAGACUGGACCCUCCACAGCAGGAGACGGUGAACAACCCGGGGGUGACCUCCUGCAGACAUCUCCAGAUCAACAGCUGAUGCACCUGUCCAGCCACAAUUAAAGUUUUCCCAAGGACAGACUUUGGAGACAGGUGAAGAAAUGUCAAAGCCCCGUGGUCCACUCAGGACACAUGGACUGAGAACUCCCAGUGCACGGACACUGUUUAUUGUUACGCCUGCAGACACUUUAGCUUUCCAAACACAGUUAAGACUUUCACACAUGCAGGCUACAACAACUGGAAGAAGGCAAUGUUCACGGAUGGAGGCUUUGCUGCUCAUGUUAAAUCUGAGGUGCACAUCAGUGCCACGUCAGCUUGGAACAGUUUUGAGAAAAUUGAUCAGGACACUCCGAUGAAAUCAGUGUCACAAGAGAACACAAAUUUGGUACAAAAAACCCAUCAUUACAUUAUAUGUGUUGUUGAAGUGUUAUUGUUAACUGUCACUCAGACUGAAAGUGACGCUAACCGAGGAAACUUUUUAGCCAUUUUAGAACUCCUUGCACAGCAUGACAUGGUUGUUGAGGAAAAAAUUUAAUGGGCUGCGUGAUGCCAAAUAUACUUCACAUCACAUCCAAAAUGAAGUUUUAGACGUGUUAGCUGAAAUGGCGCGCUCCACCAUUAUACAGUGAGGAAAAUAAGUAU